CGGUUACCUUGUUACGACUUCACCCCAAUCAUUGAUUCUACCUUCGACUGCUGCCUCGAUUGUUGGCUCACAGGCUUCGGGUAUUCCCAACUCUCAUGGUGUGACGGGCGGUGUGUACAAGGCCCGGGAACGUAUUCACGGCAGUAUGCUGACCUGCCAUUACUAGCAAUUCCGACUUCAUGAAGGCGAAUUUCAGCCUUCAAUCCGAACUGAGACCGCUUUUUUCAGUUUUGCUUGAUAUCACUAUCUUGCUUCUCUCUGUUACGGCCAUUGUAGUACGUGUGUUGCCCAAGACAUAAAGGGCAUGAUGAUUUGACGUCAUCCCCACCUUCCUCCGAUUUAUUACCGGCAGUUCUUCCAGAGUUCCCAUCUUUACAUGCUGGCAACUGAAAGCAGGGGUUGCGCUCGUUGCAGGACUUAACCUAACAUCUCACGACACGAGCUGACGACAACCAUGCACCACCUGUUUAUGGGUCCGAAGACUUACUAAUCUCUUAGUAAUUCCCAUAUAUGUCAAGCCUUGGUAAGGUUCUUCGCGUUGCGUCGAAUUAAACCACAUACUCCACUGCUUGUGCGGGCCCCCGUCAAUUCCUUUGAGUUUCAACCUUGCGGUCGUACUCCCCAGGUGGGAUACCUAUUG
This 640-nucleotide ribosomal RNA is filed under the name uncultured bacterium. RNAcentral's name for it is "partial 16S ribosomal RNA". The record is from RNAcentral.